UUUAAUUUUUCAGUUUUUCUCUCUCCUUUCCCCAUUCUCUGUCGAAGUGUUCAUCAAAAUUGACAUGAACAAAAAUUCUAACAGCCAAAUACAAACAAUUUUCAAUAAAUCGUUCUAAAAUAAAAUUGUAGAACUUGAUGGUGAUGACAACAAAAGAGUAGAAGACGGUGGUGAUGAUGUAGGAGGAAGAGAGGAGACAAACUUGUGUGUUUAAAAGAUGCAUAGUCGAUUUGAU
Molecule: long non-coding RNA, 235 nt
Filed under: Arabidopsis lyrata
Lineage: Eukaryota; Viridiplantae; Streptophyta; Magnoliopsida; Brassicales; Brassicaceae
Description: long non-coding RNA (ALYR_LNC002347)
Source: RNAcentral